CCAGUCCCCCAAUCUAUCCUAAUCUCUCUGCAGCAAAGCAAUAUCCUGCUCACAUUUUAUUACUUUACAAAGUUUUGUGUCAUCUGCAAACACUGAUACAUGGCUUUCAAUGCCUAUUUCAAGAUCAUUUAUAAAUAUGUUAUAGAAGUGGUCCCAAAACAGAACCCUGAGGGACACCACUUACCACUUUUGUCCAGCCUGAAAAUUUACCAUUAGUAACAACUCAUUGUACUCUAUCCUUAAGCCAAUGUCCUACCCAAGAACAAGAAUAUUCAUCUAGACCAAUUUCUUUUAGUUUGAAGACUAACCUAUUGUGAGGAACCGUAUCAAA
Pelobates cultripes (western spadefoot toad) is the source of this 331-nucleotide non-coding RNA. The record is from the annotation of a GenBank genome assembly. NCBI's taxonomy places the organism in Eukaryota, Metazoa, Chordata, Amphibia, Anura, Pelobatidae.